Molecule: ribosomal RNA, 293 nt
Filed under: uncultured bacterium
Lineage: Bacteria
Description: partial 16S ribosomal RNA
Rfam family: Bacterial small subunit ribosomal RNA
Source: RNAcentral
GUGCCAGCAGCCGCGGUAAGACGAACCGUCCAAACGUUAUUCGGAAUCACUGGGCUUAAAGGGCGCGUAGGCGGCCGAGCGGGUCGAGGGUGAAAUCCUCCAGCUUAACUGGAGAACUGCCCUCGCUACCACUGCGGCUCGAGGAAGGAAGGGGCAGCGGGAACUGUCGGUGGAGCGGUGAAAUGCGUUGAUAUCGACAGGAACGCCGAUGGCGAAAGCACGCUGCUGGUCCUUUACUGACGCUGAGGCGCGAAAGCCAGGGGAGCAAACGGGAUUAGAAACCCCAGUAGUCC